RNAcentral lists this ribosomal RNA (490 nucleotides) under uncultured bacterium. RNAcentral describes it as "partial 16S ribosomal RNA". It matches the Rfam family "Bacterial small subunit ribosomal RNA", at positions 30 to 507 of the family's 1533-position model. The record is from RNAcentral.
AUUGAACGCUGGCGGCAUGCCUUACACAUGCAAGUCGAACGGCAGCAUGAUCUAGCUUGCUAGAUUGAUGGCGAGUGGCGAACGGGUGAGUAAUACAUCGGAACGUGCCCUGUAGUGGGGGAUAACUAGUCGAAAGAUUAGCUAAUACCGCAUACGACCUGAGGGUGAAAGUGGGGGACCGCAAGGCCUCAUGCUAUAGGAGCGGCCGAUGUCUGAUUAGCUAGUUGGUGAGGUAAAGGCUCACCAAGGCGACGAUCAGUAGCUGGUCUGAGAGGACGAUCAGCCACACUGGGACUUGGACACGGCCCAGACUCCUACGGGAGGCAGCAGUGGGGAAUUUUGGACAAUGGGCGAAAGCCUGAUCCAGCAAUGCCGCGUGUGUGAAGAAGGCCUUCGGGUUGUAAAGCACUUUUGUCCGGAAAGAAAUGGCUCUGGUUAAUACCUGGGGUCGAUGACGGUACCGGAAGAAUAAGGACCGGCUAACUACGUG